Molecule: ribosomal RNA, 404 nt
Filed under: uncultured bacterium
Lineage: Bacteria
Description: bacterial SSU rRNA
Rfam family: Bacterial small subunit ribosomal RNA
Source: RNAcentral
AUUGAACGCUGGCGGCGUGCCUAACACAUGCAAGUCGAGCGGAUGAAGGGAGCUUGCUCCUGGAUUCAGCGGCGCACGGGUGAGUAACACGUGGAUAAUCUACCUGUCAGUUUGGGAUAACAGUUGGAAACGACUGCUAAUACCGGAUACGAACCGAAUUUGAACUUGGUUGAAAGGGGGCCUCUGCAUAUGCUUCCGCUGAGAGAUGAGUCCGCGUCUCAUUAGGUAGUUGGUGGGGUAAUGGCUCACCAAGCCUGCGAUGAGUAGCCGGCCUGAGAGGGUAAUCGGCCACACUGGGGACUGGGAACACGGGCCCAGACUCCUACGGGGGAGGCAGCAGGUGGGGGAAUNUUGCGCAAUGGACGAAAGUCUGACGCAGCGACGCCGCGUGAGGGAUGAAGGCC